This 292-nucleotide ribosomal RNA is filed under the name Theileria sp. MNM-2014a. Its description in RNAcentral is "partial 18S ribosomal RNA". It matches the Rfam family "Eukaryotic small subunit ribosomal RNA", at positions 331 to 621 of the family's 1831-position model. The record is from RNAcentral. Lineage: Eukaryota; Apicomplexa; Aconoidasida; Piroplasmida; Theileriidae.
GGGUAUUGGCCUACCGGGGCAACGACGGGUGACGGGGAAUUAGGGUUCGAUUCCGGAGAGGGAGCCUGAGAAACGGCUACCACAUCUAAGGAAGGCAGCAGGCGCGCAAAUUACCCAAUCCUGACACAGGGAGGUCGUGACAAGAAAUAACAAUACGGGGCUUAAAGUCUUGUAAUUGGAAUGAUGGGAAUUUAAACCUCUUCCGGAGUAUCAAUUGGAGGGCAAGUCUGGUGCCAGCAGCCGCGUUAAUUCCAGCUCCAAUAGCGUAUAUAUUAAAAUUGUUGCACAGUUA